RNAcentral lists this ribosomal RNA (497 nucleotides) under uncultured bacterium. Its description in RNAcentral is "partial 16S ribosomal RNA". It matches the Rfam family "Bacterial small subunit ribosomal RNA", at positions 28 to 507 of the family's 1533-position model. The record is from RNAcentral.
GAUGAACGCUGGCGGCGUGCCUAAUACAUGCCAGUCGAGCGAACAGACGAGGAGCUUGCUCCUCUGACGUUAGCGGCGGACGGGUGAGUAACACGUGGAUAACCUACCUAUAGGACUGGGAUAACUUCGGGAAACCGGAGCUAAUACCGGAUAACAUGUUGAACCGCAUGGUUCAACAGUGAAGGACGGUCUUGCUGUCACUUAUAGAUGGAUCCGCGCCGCAUUAGCUAGUUGGUAAGGUAACGGCUUACCAAGGCAACGAUGCGUAGCCGACCUGAGAGGGUGAUCGGCCACACUGGAACUGAGACACGGUCCAGACUCCUACGGGAGGCAGCAGUAGGGAAUCUUCCGCAAUGGGCGAAAUCCUGACGGAGCAACGCCGCGUGAGUGAAGAAGGUCUUCGGAUCGUAAAACUCUGUUAUUAGGGAAGAACAAAUGUGUAAGUAACUAUGCACGUCUUGACGGUACCUAAUCAGAAAGCCACGGCUAACUACGUG